UAUCUAAGUAGUUUAAUAAAAAAUACUGAUUUGUGGAGUCAGAGAUGUAAAUAUUAUCUUGGAUAA
RNAcentral lists this transfer RNA (66 nucleotides) under Agriotes fuscicollis. Its description in RNAcentral is "tRNA-His". Lineage: Eukaryota; Metazoa; Arthropoda; Insecta; Coleoptera; Elateridae. The record is from RNAcentral.